UUGCCUACGGGUGGCAGCAGUGAGGAAUCUUCCGCAAUGGGCGAAAGCCUGACGGAGCAACGCCGCGUGAAUGAAGAAGGCCUUCGGGUCGUAAAGUUCUGUCUUUAGGGAAGAAGUCCCAUAAUGUAAAUAAUGUUACGGGGUGACGGUACCUGAGGAGGAAGCUCCGGCUAACUACGUGCCAGCAGCCGCGGUAAUACGUAGGGAGCGAGCGUUGUCCGGAAUUACUGGGCGUAAAGGGCGCGUAGGCGGGUAUUUAAGUCAGAUGUGAAAGCUCCGGGCUUAACUUGGAGAGUGCAUUUGAAACUGGAUAUCUUGAGGGCAGGAGAGGAAAGUGGAAUUCCUAGUGUAGCGGUGGAAUGCGUAGAUAUUAGGAGGAACACCAGUGGCGAAGGCGACUUUCUGGACUGUACCUGACGCUGAGGCGCGAAAGCAUGGGGAGCAAACGGGAUUAGAUACCCCGGUAGUCUAC
This 472-nucleotide ribosomal RNA is filed under the name uncultured Dehalobacterium sp. RNAcentral's name for it is "bacterial SSU rRNA". It matches the Rfam family "Bacterial small subunit ribosomal RNA", at positions 335 to 798 of the family's 1533-position model. Lineage: Bacteria; Bacillati; Bacillota; Clostridia; Eubacteriales; Peptococcaceae. The record is from RNAcentral.